UACGGGGGGAGCAAGCGUUGUUCGGAUUUACUGGGCGUAAAGGGCGCGUAGGCGGCCUGACAAGUGGAAGGUGAAAUCCCUCGGCUCAACUGAGGAACUGCCCUCCAAACUGUUUGGCUUGAGACCGGGAGAGGUGAGUGGAAUUCCCAGUGUAGCGGUGAAAUGCGUAGAUAUUGGGAGGAACACCAGUGGCGAAGGCGGCUCACUGGACCGGUACUGACGCUGAGGCGCGAAAGCGUGGGGAGCAAACGGG
This 253-nucleotide ribosomal RNA is filed under the name uncultured bacterium. Its description in RNAcentral is "partial 16S ribosomal RNA". It matches the Rfam family "Bacterial small subunit ribosomal RNA", at positions 524 to 776 of the family's 1533-position model. The record is from RNAcentral.